Rhinopithecus bieti (black snub-nosed monkey) is the source of this 108-nucleotide small nuclear RNA. NCBI's taxonomy places the organism in Eukaryota, Metazoa, Chordata, Mammalia, Primates, Cercopithecidae. The record is from Ensembl.
GUGCUUGCUUCGGCAGCACGUAUGCUAAAUUGGAGCAAUCAAGAGAAGAUUAGCAUGGCCUCUCUGCACAAGGAUGACACGCAAAUUUGUGAAGUGUUCCAUAUUAAA